Molecule: long non-coding RNA, 2317 nt
Filed under: Carassius auratus (goldfish)
Lineage: Eukaryota; Metazoa; Chordata; Actinopteri; Cypriniformes; Cyprinidae
Description: lncRNA (ENSCARG00000041234.1)
Source: RNAcentral
AUGUAUUUGCCAUUUUAUUCGAUCUCUAAACUGCAGUUGGAUUAUUAUGUCCACAACUUUUGUUCCUCCACAGCUUCCUCCGCUAGUUUCUCCGAGCAAUCUUGCUGGAAGUUGUGGUUCAUGAUGGUGAUGUUGCAAUCUCACCCUUGCCCUUACAUGCAGUUGCUUCAACAACAUUGUGUGCUUGGAAAGUUUCGGCUGAGAGGCUCACUUUCGGUGGUGGGACAGCAGGAAAAGGUGUCUUCGCGUCCCAGACGUUUUUGAACCGUUUCAUCUAGCAACCCUAGUGAAGAGUUUUGUAGCAUUUGAAGUUUCCCCAUUCAAAGAGAUAGGAGCUGCACUUGGAUGCCCGAGAGCAUUUCAAAGAUGGCCGCAGAGUGACAUGACUUGUCUUAAAGGGACUUUGGAUCUUUCCACUGUGAGUUUUUCCCACCAUUAUUUAUAUUUUGGAAGAAUUUCAUUAUAAUAUUUAUAUUCUGUUAUCAGUUGGCAUAAAAACAAACUCAGUAACAGUUAUAUAUUUGAUUUUGGUAGAUCAGUUCCUCCCACUGCAAUUACAUCAUCAAUGAAGCUCCUCCCACACCGUUCACAUCCUCAGGGAAGCUCCGCCCCCAGCAGUUCCCCAAUAAAUGCUGGAAUAUUCCCAUCAGUUUACAACAGCAUCAGAUCAUCAGGAAGAGCUGAAAUCUGCAAGGACUGAGUUUCUUAAAGAGGACAGAGAGAAGAUGAGAGAUCCAGAACCCUGCAGAACCAAACUCACUGAAGACACUGAAGAACUAACAGGUCAGGUUUAUUCUUCAAGCACUUCUUCAGAUUCAGAUCUUCUGUGAAAUGGAUUCAAAAAUGGCUUUCAUCAAGUGGUCAGUAAAGGGAGGUUUAAGAAAUGUUCAUAUUGAUUGCCAACAUCAGGUCAACUAUUAUUUUAUUUUUAUUUUACAUUUAUUUAUAUCUGAUUUACUAUUUUUUGCAACAAUGUUACCAAAAUGUUGAACAUUUGGUAAACACCAGAAUGUAUCAAGUAAUGCCUAUCUAGUCUAUAGAUAAAGAUAUAUUUCUCCUGAAUUAAAGCUGUUUUUCAUAGUUGAGAUGAUUCUUCUUACAGUAACUUUGAUGAAUGAGAUCAACACUGUACAGUUUGUGUAAACCGAGAGAUUGAGAACGGAUUGACAUUUUCUUGUCCUUCCUUCAUGUUGUAAAAAGAGCCCAGAAGAUGUCACUUCCUCUGUGUAACAAUUUCUAGAAAUUUUUCAUUUUUUUCUAAGGAGGAAAAUCAUGUAAUGAGUGAAAGUGUAAGGCUGAAAUAACCACAGAUACUUUGAUGUCCUGAGAUAGAGACAAUACAAACACACACAGACAUCUGUUUUCACAGCCCACAGAGUCAAGAUUGCUGUCCUUCCAUCACAUCUCUCUCUUCUCCCCCACUUCAGCCUCUUCACCCAUCAUUCCCUCCAUUCACUUCACUCAGAAAGAUCAGAUGAAAUAUAAUCUUCUGUCAAUGCAGGUCAAUUCAGUCAGGUUUGGUAUCAUUAGAAAAGUGUGACUUGUGUCCAAAGAAACAGACCAGGAAUCUAAUAGAAGUGAGAGAGUUUAGAGAUGCUUUGUCUGCUGCAGAUGGUGUGUUUUUCCCACGGUCUCCAUCUAAAUGACCUCCUGUUCCUCAAAGAAGUGUGAAAUCCCAGUCAAUGCAAACUCCAGAUGUUCUGUCAUGCCUCCUUCUGGAGAAUGAUUAUCCUGCUCACACUAUGACUAUAAAGCAUUAGAAAAAUUAAAAUUAUGAUAUAAAAUAAAAUUAUGAUAUAAAUGAACAAUAAUCAAUUGCCAUUAAACUUGAACUGACACACAGCAAAACAUGUGUUUCUGGUGUCCCACGUUCACAUGCGUAUGAAUGAGUCACUGGAAGGAAAAGUCUAGUGUGACCAGCCCAUAAUAAUUAAAACAGUUUUUAGUCAAAUCCAUUAAAUAUCAAUCUAAAAGUUGGCAUCAACAUUAUGGCACUAUUGUUUAUGGUUAAUGUUAAUAUUACAUUAGAUAAUUUUUGUUAUUGAUCAAAUAUAUUUAGUAGUUCUCACUACAGAAACAUAGGAUUUGUGCGUAUAUAAUGCUUUAAAAAUAAUUAUUUAAAGAUCAGUGUAACUCAUUUAUGGAAAGUUUCAGGGAUGUAAAAUUCAUUUAUAAAAAAUCAUCAAAAUGGCUGUAAUAUUUUAUAACAGGUAUCUACUUUAGGCUAUUUCAUCAGAGCUCACUUCUAUGUCCUUUUACUUUAUGUUACUUUUUUUGAAUUAUUUACUGAAUAUUUACUGAAAAUUAAUGUAAACAU